GUGGGUUUAGCUCAGCUAGGAGAGCGUCAGACUGAAGUAAAACUUCAAUCGCAGCGAGGUUCGCCUCCCCAAGAUUAUCUGAAGGUCAUGUGUUAGAUCCACAUAAACCGCA
Non-coding RNA from Immersiella caudata, 112 nucleotides. The record is from the annotation of a GenBank genome assembly. NCBI's taxonomy places the organism in Eukaryota, Fungi, Ascomycota, Sordariomycetes, Sordariales, Lasiosphaeriaceae.